Molecule: RNA transcript, 862 nt
Organism: Nomascus leucogenys (northern white-cheeked gibbon)
Lineage: Eukaryota; Metazoa; Chordata; Mammalia; Primates; Hylobatidae
Gene name: vesicle transport protein SFT2A pseudogene
Exons: 1
Source: RefSeq, a predicted model, not a curated record
UUAUCAUUCCUGGCCUAGUGAAAUGUCUAAAAGGAAAAAAAAAAUCCUCUCACUUAAAAAUUAACUGCUGACAGGGUAAAGAAAAGGACAAAAGUUUAAUGUGCGGGCUGGUCUGUGGGGAUUCGGGUUCGGGGUUUCUUGGUGGGCGUCAGGGGCAGGCAACAGAGUGGCGGCCGCUACGGCCCUGGAAAGGCGCCAUGUAGAAGCUGCGGCGAGUCCUGAGCGGCCAGGACGACGAGGAGCAGGGCCUGACCGCGCAGGUCCUGGAUGCCUCAUCCCUUAGUUUCAACACCAGAUUGAAAUGGUUUGCCAUCUGCUUCGUAUGUGGCGUUUUCUUUUCUAUUCUUGGAACUGGAUUGCUGUGGCUUCCGGGCAGCAUAAAGCUUUUGCAGUGUUUUAUACCCUCGGCAAUCUUGCUGCGUUAGCCAGUACAUGCUUUUUGAUGGGACCUGUGAAACAACUGAAGAAAAUGUUUGAAACAACAAGAUUGCUUGCAACAAUUAUUAUGCUGUUGUGUUUCGUAUUUACCCUGUGUGCUGCUCUUUGGUGGCAUAAGAAGGGACUGGCUAUGUUAUUCUGCAUAUUGCAGUUCUUGUCAAUGACCUGGUAUAGCCUGUCGUACAUCCCAUAUGCAAGGGAUGCAGUUAUCAAAUGCUGUUCUUCUCUCCUAAGUUGAAAAUCAGAAACUCGUGGAAAAAAGUACUUGAAUGUUGAUACUCUAUGUUUGGUGAAGUUUGCUUUUCCCCAUAAAAUACUCCAGAAACAACUGAAGUGACAGUUGAAGACUGUUUUGUACUGUCUCAUUUUUAUACUGGUAAAAACUACAUGCUUGAUUAAACCAUUAAAUGCUUGUAACUUUAAA